Molecule: microRNA, 23 nt
Filed under: Ptychodera flava
Lineage: Eukaryota; Metazoa; Hemichordata; Enteropneusta; Ptychoderidae
Description: Pfl-Mir-184_5p* (star (passenger))
Source: RNAcentral
UCCUUAUCAUUCCCGCGUCCAGC